ACAGACUACAGGGAUUGCCCCAGUAAUGGCGAAUGAAGCGGCAAGAGCCCAAAUUUGAAAUCGGGCAACCGAGUUGUAAUUUGGAGACGGGACACUAGAGAGGAGGAAGGCGAUUAAGUGCCUUGGAACAGGCUGCCGUAGAGGGUGAGAGCCCCGUGAAUCGCUGGAGACCGAUCAAUUAGUGCCCGCCGAAGAGUCGAGUUGUUUGGGAAUGCAGCUCUAAGUGGGUGGUAUAUUCCAUCUAAGGCUAAAUAUUAGCGAGAGACCGAUAGCAAACAAGUACAGUGAUGGAAAGAUGAAAAGAACUUUGGAAAGAGAGUGAAAUAGUACGUGAAAUUGUUGAAAGGGAAGGGUAUUUGAUCCGACAUGGUGUUUAGCAGCGGCCCGUUCCUCGUGGAUGGGUGCACCUGGUUUACACUGGGCCAGCAUCGGUUCUGGGAGCCAUAUACGGGGUUCGUGAAUGUGGCCCUUCGAUUCUGUCGGAGGGUGUUAUAGCGCGGACAUCUUGUGGCUAGCCGGGACCGGGGACUGCGGUGACUUGUCACCAAGGAUGCUGGCAGAACGAG
RNAcentral lists this ribosomal RNA (566 nucleotides) under Brettanomyces bruxellensis. Its description in RNAcentral is "LSU rRNA". It matches the Rfam family "Eukaryotic large subunit ribosomal RNA", at positions 56 to 638 of the family's 3401-position model. Lineage: Eukaryota; Fungi; Ascomycota; Pichiomycetes; Pichiales; Pichiaceae. The record is from RNAcentral.